ACCGACCAAAUCGUCCAGAUGAUAAGAAUUAACAUUCAAAUCGACAGAUUGAAGAAAUUGAUCAAAACCUAAAUUCUUAAUUUUGCUAAAAAAAGCGGACGGAAGAAUACCACGAACAUCAUUUAAUGUGGACAUAGAUCCAUUAAAACAACAACGUAACUGUACUAAUCAAUGAGCUGUGAUAAAAGAAUUUUGGAAAACAUUUCAAAAUCAACAAUACUAUUAAAUUGAUAUUAAUUGAAAUAAAAAAAUUUAAUUACUUACAAUUCAUAGCACCCUUAAGAAACACCCUUUAAAGAAUGUGUUUAAGAUAUGAACAUUGUUCUUCAAAAGAUAUUGAAUUUGUUUUCUUCAAUUUAUGUCCUGAUAAUAUAAAAUGGUUCACGAUUAAAAUUUUGAUUUUAGUAAAAUAUCCAAAAAUAAUAAAAUAAAUUAAAAGAAUCAGACAAUUCAAGAAAUAAAAUAAAAUAAAUAAUAAUACAAGACUAACUUUUAAUUGAUGUAGAUGGUUUAUCAAUAAUUGGAAUAGUUCCUCAAAAAAUUAGAGAAAUACUAAAUAAUACAAUUAUAUCUAGAAAGCAACAACUAUUAAGGAAGACCACAAAAAUACUUGAAGAAAAAUUAAAAAUAAUGUGUAAGUACAAAAAUUCACAAUAGAAGUAUAUAUUAAAUAUUAUUAAAUUAGUAGAAAAAAUAGUGAACUAAUUAUAUAUAAACAAUUUUAAAACAUUUAUUUUUAUAUAUAAUAAAUAGAAAUACAAUAAUUAUAACAUAAAUUUGUCAAUUACUAAAUCAAAUAGAAUCAGACAUAUUAGUGAAAGCAAUUGAAAAAUAUUGUUUAAAUAUUAGACAGAUACAUGUAAUCAUUACCAUCGUCAGACAUAGCAGCUAUAAAUGAUUUAAUCCGUUUCCACUUUUGUGGAAUAUUAGACAUACUAUGACUUUGUAGGGACACCAAUGGUUUCCCUACCGAUCUUACAAUCAAAGAGAUUGAUGAAUUCAUUAUUAGAAUAGUUCGAGGUUAAAGACAAAGGUUGAUUUGAUGAUUUUGUAAGAACAGAUACCAAAUCCAUAGAACGAGAACAACUAUAAUAAACAAACAAAAAAAUUGUUAGAAAAAAUUCUGUUCAUUAUAGUUCAUUAUAGUUAAGAAAAAAUAAGAUUAGAAAAAAUUAUAGUUAAAAUAGGAAAAAAAAAAGUAUAUCAAUUUAACCGAAAACAGUAAAUCAUUCAAAAAAAUGUGCAGAUCUGCGUAUUUGAAAAAACAUGGUUCCACAAAAAAAUAUAACAAAGAGAAAAACCAAAUAAUGAAAUAUAAAAACAAUAGAUGAUGUGGCGUACUGAUUGAGAUAAAACAUUGCGUUGAUGGGAUUAAAAAACUAAUUAUGAAAAAACAGGAUGACUUUUGUAGCCGAAAAACAUAGGAGGUCAGUUUACUACAUGGAUCAACAACAACUAAUCAAAUAAAAAAAAGAAUCCAAAAACUAAAAUACUAAUAAAUUAAGACAAAAAUGAUGAACAAAUAUAUUGUUGGCGUAUUAAUAGUACAUCGCUAAAUGUAUUCGAAUGACUAAAAAUUUAGUAUACCUUGGAAAGGUAGAGAUUCGACUAGAAAUCGUAAAUAGUAUUGACAACAAAAACUGCCGAUAACAGUUAACAAUCCUGUAAAAUGUAAUGCCUAGUUCUGAUUACUCAAAGAAGGGGAAUAAACGAAACAACUUGAAAACAUGACACCAAGACAGGAAAGAGACGACAGUGAAUGUAAGAAAUCAGUUUACCUUAGAUAGGUAGAGGAUCAAGUACCAAUCGAAAAUAGUAUUGAGUGCCAAUAACAGUUAACAACCAUGUUAAACGUAAUACCUAAUUCUGAUUAGUUAAACAAGGGGAAAAAACGGAGAACAUGAUAAACACUAAACGAAGAACAGGGAAAGAGAUGACAGCGAAAGUAAGAAAUUAGACUAACAUCGAUGAAAACUUACCGAUUGUAUGUAGCCACCAAACAAACGACGGAUAACGUCUAUGUUGAAAUCGAUCUAAACCAUGAAAAAUCCACAACAAAGUAGAAGAAGAUGAUCGUAGAAGCAAACUGCGGAAAAAUACAACCCAACAACCAAAAAAGAUGAAAACAGAAACCAACUACAACAUAGUCGCUAAUAAAAGACAGAAUCUCCAAGAGUGAAGCACCAUUAGAAACAAAAGGAGAAAAGAUGAUGAAAGGAAAGUGUGAAACAACGACAAUGUCGAAAUGGUCUGGAGGUCGAAGAUGGGACAAAGGUUAAAGGUUACAGAGGAUAGAAGGUUGAGGAUAGUAGAAGGGUUACGAAGGAUGAGGACGGAAGGAGUGCAUGUGAAGCAGGAACAAGAGGUACAAAAAGGUUUAAGGAAGUAGAAGAUAGGAGGAAGAAGACGAUGUCUUCGUUUCAUCGUAGAAAAUGUGAUACAAAAGGGUGGAUUAAAUAACAAGUUAUUAAGAUAGGAUGACAUAAUUGAUUUUGCUUUCUAGGUGGUGCAACAAGUUUCAGUAGGGGUGCUAGGGGAAUUAGUAUUACUAACUAUCUGGGUUUAGAAUUUAAUUAGAUACUUUAAUUAGGUUCGCAUGGUCAGAUGUGCACUCAUAAUAUAAAUAGAUGGAGAUUUCUAAUAAUUCACCACUUCUAAGUUCUAACUCACUCUACAACUAUUUGAGUAUCUCACCUUAUUUAGGGUAAUGAUGAUCACCUGCUUAACUCCCUCAAUGAUGUUCAAACACUCGCGGCAAGGACGCACCAACACAAUGUAGCA
RNAcentral lists this long non-coding RNA (2781 nucleotides) under Zostera marina. RNAcentral's name for it is "long non-coding RNA (ZMAR_LNC000830)". The record is from RNAcentral. Lineage: Eukaryota; Viridiplantae; Streptophyta; Magnoliopsida; Alismatales; Zosteraceae.